GUAGUCUCGCACAGAUGCAUAUCAAUAAGCGGAGGAAAAGAAACUAACAAGGAUUCCCCUAGUAACGGCGAGUGAAGCGGGAAGAGCUCAAAUUUGAAAUCUUAAAGGGUUUCCCUUUACGAAUUGUAGUUUAAAGAAGUGUUUUCUGUUGAGGUUUUGGUAAAAGUUCUUUAGAAUAGGACAUCAUAGAGGGUGAGAAUCCCGUAUUUGACCUUUACUUUCAACUUUGUGAUACACUUUCAAAGAGUCGGAUUGUUUGGGAAUGCAGUCCAAAAUGGGUGGUAAAUUUCAUCUAAAGCUAAAUAUUGGCGAGAGACCGAUAGCGAACAAGUACCGUGAGGGAAAGAUGAAAAGAACUUUGAAAAGAGAGUUAAACAGUACGUGAAAUUGUCAAAAGGGAAGCGUUUGACACCAGUGUUGUUUUUCUGAAAAUCAAUUAAAGAACUGUUUAUGCUAAGUUGUUUAGACUUUAUCAGCUAUCUGCUUAGUUUUGAGCUUUUCUUUAAUGCACUUUUCAGUUAACAAGUCAACAUCAAUUUCUUUUGCUGUAAAAAAGCUUGAGGAAGGUGGCUUGAGAUUCGUCUUAAGUGUUUAUAGCCUCUUGCCUAUGCAGUCGGAGAGAUUGAGGUCUGCAGCGUAGAUCCUUCGGGGCUAAAUGCAUUUGUGCUAAGUUAUAGCAUUUUAUAGACAACUUGUUGACUAUGAUUUGUCUUGUAGCUUACUCGCUUAUGUUAUUUUACCUACGCUUAGGAUGUUGAACUCUAUCACACACAG
This 774-nucleotide ribosomal RNA is filed under the name uncultured Neocallimastigales. RNAcentral's name for it is "partial large subunit ribosomal RNA". It matches the Rfam family "Eukaryotic large subunit ribosomal RNA", at positions 24 to 621 of the family's 3401-position model. The record is from RNAcentral. Lineage: Eukaryota; Fungi; Neocallimastigomycota; Neocallimastigomycetes; Neocallimastigales.